CCUACGGGUGGCAGCAGUGAGGAAUAUUGGUCAAUGGUCGCGAGACUGAACCAGCCAAGUCGCGUGAAGGAUGACUGCCCUACGGAUUGUAAACUUCUUUUAUCAAGGAAUAAAGUGAGGCACGUGUCCCUGUUUGUGUGUACUUGAUGAAUAAGGAUCGGCUAACUCCGUGCCAGCAGCCGCGGUAAUACGGAGGAUCCGAGCGUUAUCCGGAUUUAUUGGGUUUAAAGGGAGCGUAGACGGUUUGUUAAGUCAGUUGUGAAAGUUUGCGGCUCAACCGUCAAAUUGCAAUUGAGACUGGCAGUCUUGAGUACAGGUGAGGUAGGCGGAAUGCGUGGUGUAGCGGUGAAAUGCUUAGAUAUCACGCAGAACUCCGAUUGCGAAGGCAGCAUACCAA
RNAcentral lists this ribosomal RNA (397 nucleotides) under uncultured bacterium. Its description in RNAcentral is "partial 16S ribosomal RNA". It matches the Rfam family "Bacterial small subunit ribosomal RNA", at positions 338 to 732 of the family's 1533-position model. The record is from RNAcentral.